AUACGUAGGGUGCGAGCGUUAAUCGGAAUUACUGGGCGUAAAGCGUGCGCAGGCGGUUUUGUAAGACAGCUGUGAAAUCCCCGGGCUCAACCUGGGAACUGCGGUUGUGACUGCAAGACUUGAGUACGGCAGAGGGGGGUGGAAUUCCUGGUGUAGCAGUGAAAUGCGUAGAUAUCAGGAGGAACACCGAUGGCGAAGGCAGCCCCCUGGGCCUGUACUGACGCUCAUGCACGAAAGCGUGGGGAGC
This 247-nucleotide ribosomal RNA is filed under the name uncultured bacterium. RNAcentral's name for it is "partial 16S ribosomal RNA". It matches the Rfam family "Bacterial small subunit ribosomal RNA", at positions 523 to 769 of the family's 1533-position model. The record is from RNAcentral.